RNAcentral lists this ribosomal RNA (459 nucleotides) under uncultured bacterium. Its description in RNAcentral is "partial 16S ribosomal RNA". It matches the Rfam family "Bacterial small subunit ribosomal RNA", at positions 338 to 795 of the family's 1533-position model. The record is from RNAcentral.
CCUACGGGAGGCUGCAGUGAGGAAUAUUGGUCAAUGGGCGCGAGCCUGAACCAGCCAAGUCGCGUGAGGGAAGACGGUCCUAUGGAUUGUAAACUUCUUUUGUCGGGGAGCAAAAGACGCCACGCGUGGCGUUCCGAGAGUACCCGAAGAAAAAGCAUCGGCUAACUCCGUGCCAGCCGCCGCGGUAAUACGGAGGAUGCGAGCGUUAUCCGGAUUUAUUGGGUUUAAAGGGUGCGCAGGGGGAAGAUCAAGUCAGCGUUAAAAUUGAGGGGCUAAACCUCGUCGAGCCGUUGAAACUGGUUUUCUUGAGUGAGCGAGAGGUAGGCGGAAUGUGUGGUGUAGCGGUGAAAUGCAUAGAUAUCACGCAGAACUCCGAUUGCGAAGGCAGCAUACCGGCGCUCAACUGACGCUCAUGCACGAAAGUGUGGGUAUCGAACAGGAUUAGAUACCCUAGUAGUC